RNAcentral lists this ribosomal RNA (506 nucleotides) under uncultured bacterium. Its description in RNAcentral is "partial 16S ribosomal RNA". The record is from RNAcentral.
GGAGUUAGCCGGUGCUUCUUCUGUGAGUGAUGUCCUUCCUGCCGGUUAUUGACCCGCAGGCCUUCUUCCUCACUGAAAGUGCUUUACAACCCGAAGGCCUUCUUCACACACGCGGCAUGGCUGGAUCAGGGUUGCCCCCAUUGUCCAAUAUUCCCCACUGCUGCCUCCCGUAGGAGUCUGGGCCGUGUCUCAGUCCCAGUGUGGCUGAUCAUCCUCUCAGACCAGCUACGGAUCGUCGCCUUGGUGAGCCGUUACCUCACCAACCAGCUAAUCCGACAUAGGCUCAUCCGAUAGCGCGAGGCCCGAAGGUCCCCCGCUUUCCCCCGUAGGGCGUAUGCGGUAUUAGCCCUGGGUUUCCCCAGGUUAUCCCCCACUACCGGGCAGAUUCCUAUGCAUUACUCACCCGUCCGCCGCUCGCCACCAGGGAGCAAGCUCCCCGUGCUGCCGCUCGACUUGCAUGUGUAGCUCGCCGCCACGCGUCAUCUGAGCAUAAUACAACUACUCGA